Molecule: long non-coding RNA, 214 nt
Filed under: Elaeis guineensis (African oil palm)
Lineage: Eukaryota; Viridiplantae; Streptophyta; Magnoliopsida; Arecales; Arecaceae
Description: long non-coding RNA (EGUI_LNC040561)
Source: RNAcentral
UGCACCAUUUAUUUGGAUAAAAAUGGUUGGUUGGCCUUUCAAAUUCAAAUGAAGUUUGAAUUUGAAUGGGGCAACCAACUCCAUGCGCCAACUUGCCUUAUCCAUCUUGUGUGCCACUUAUUAUACACGAGAAAGAGUUUCUUGUGUAAACUCUCCACGCACAAGAGAGCCCACGCCCUUCUCUUCUCAUGCCAAGAGUGGAUAAGGAUGGGUU